GAUGAACGCUGGCGGCGUGCCUAAUACAUGCAAGUCGAGCGAACGGACGAGAAGCUUGCUUCUCUGAUGUUAGCGGCGGACGGGUGAGUAACACGUGGAUAACCUACCUAUAAGACUGGGAUAACUUCGGGAAACCGGAGCUAAUACCGGAUAAUAUUUUGAACCGCAUGGUUCAAAAGUGAAAGACGGUCUUGCUGUCACUUAUAGAUGGAUCCGCGCUGCAUUAGCUAGUUGGUAAGGUAACGGCUUACCAAGGCAACGAUGCAUAGCCGACCUGAGAGGGUGAUCGGCGCCACUGGAACUGAGACACGGUCCAGACUCCUACGGGAGGCAGCAGUAGGGAAUCUUCCGCAAUGGGCGAAAGCCUGACGGAGCAACGCCGCGUGAGUGAUGAAGGUCUUCGGAUCGUAAAACUCUGUUAUUAGGGAAGAACAUAUGUGUAAGUAACUGUGCACAUCUUGACGGUACCUAAUCAGAAAGCCACGGCUAACUACGUG
This 497-nucleotide ribosomal RNA is filed under the name uncultured bacterium. RNAcentral describes it as "partial 16S ribosomal RNA". It matches the Rfam family "Bacterial small subunit ribosomal RNA", at positions 28 to 507 of the family's 1533-position model. The record is from RNAcentral.